CUCCUACGGGGCGCAGCAGUGGGGAAUAUUGCACAAUGGGGGAAACCCUGAUGCAGCGACGCCGCGUGAGUGAAGAAGUAUCUCGGUAUGUAAAGCUCUAUCAGCAGGAAAGAUAAUGACGGUACCUGACUAAGAAGCCCCGGCUAACUACGUGCCAGCAGCCGCGGUAAUACGUAGGGGGCAAGCGUUAUCCGGAUUUACUGGGUGUAAAGGGAGCGUAGGCGGUAAGGCAAGUCUGAUGUGAAAGGCCAGGGCUCAACCCUGGGACUGCAUUGGAAACUGUUUAACUGGAGUGUCGGAGAGGG
This 305-nucleotide ribosomal RNA is filed under the name uncultured bacterium. Its description in RNAcentral is "bacterial SSU rRNA". It matches the Rfam family "Bacterial small subunit ribosomal RNA", at positions 336 to 658 of the family's 1533-position model. The record is from RNAcentral.